UGCCCAUUAUAGCUAUAUUUUUUACAUUUCAAACCGUUCGCGCUCGACAAAUACUUCGGACGUUAUCAAUUUUUGUGAAUUAUCGAAGUGAUUGUAAUACUUUAACAGUUACUCUGCGGAAAAAAAACUCAAGCGGCAAAACCAAGGAACUCCAUUGAUGAUUCAUGCGACAGAUAGCCUAACGUAAACCUACGUCAACUAUGCGAUCGUGUCUCGGACACAACCUUCUGUGACUUUUCUUCAUUCAGAAUGGAUUCAGAUUCAACUUCAAACAAAUGAUCACUGAAUCAACGAUAGUCCUACGUCACCAUUGCGGUUAUACCAUAGAUAUAACCCACUUCCUGUUUUUGUUUUCCAAAAGUGCUAUAGUGGUAUUUCUGCUCGUGAAGGGAAAAAAUUGAAAAUUUUCGGAAAAAGAAACAUUAUAGUGCGAAACGGAGAAAAAAGUCACAAUGCAGUAUUAUUGCGCAGUGAAAGGAUGUGGAAACAAGGCUCUAUUUACCAAAAAUUGAUCCGGACAUUGUUUAUCACUCUUUUCCAAAAAGCGGAGAGAGAUUAGACAGAUGAAUUAAUUACUGUGGCCAAUCAGAAAACUGGAAACCUCUGAAAAACCAGGGUAUCUGCUCGCGACAUUUUCAUGCAAGCAGUUAUGAUGAGCGGUAUCGGAUACGUUAUCAGCUUAUUGGUGCGAAGCAAUAGCAUGAUUGACAUUGUUUUUAAGCCAUUCCCACAAUACAUCACUCGAAUUUUCCUAGUGAGACCAUUGCAUGUUCCCUGGAUGUCGUGACCUCUGAAGAUCACAAAAAUCCAUCAAUUGAAUUAUAUUCCUUACAAAAUCGAACUAAUAUGUUGACACAAAAUAUAAACAAUCUACAAGAGACCCAUGAUGUUUUGCGACAAAUCGAUAAUACACUAAUGGAAAAGAAAAUGAAUGCACACAAUAUGUUGAUUGAUUUAAAUAGUGCUCGCAAACGAUUGCUGGCUCUCAAUGAUCAUAUAUUGCAACUUGAAAAGGAGAACGAGAAAAUAAAUGAAAGAGCUAGAUUUAUUUCCGAUAGAAAACACCACGAAGAGUACAAAUGCUUUAGAUCAGAUGAUAACACGAAUAGGAAACUGGAAAAAAUAAGGAUGGAGAUAAGUUUAAUUGCUGAUGCGUUAGGGCUUAAUCCUGAAAACGUAACAAUCAACAACAAUCGAUGUCAGGUAAGGAAAAAAAAACUUUGAAAAUAUUAUUCCGUUACAGUUCUGCUGAAUUUUAGUACUUUUCUUCGGAUACCUUACAUCAAAGUUUAGACAUACUGUUGGUCAACCACAGCGAUUAUUUUAUUCCACAAUCUAUUUAUGUCUGCAACAUCUCAAGUCACUUUGGCGCCCUUCUUCAAUUUGCGCUUGACAAUUGUCCAAUAUUUUCUGAUUGUGUUUUCAAGCGCGUCUUUUGGCCACCAGAUUUUGCUUCAGCGUGAUGUUUGUUUGCUAGCAGGCAAAUCUGGUUAGAUUUGUGUUUUAUGGCGAUGUCUUAGUUCGAGAGUCCCUGGUUUGCGCAUUAAUUAUUCUCAAUACUUUCAACUUCAGCUCCAGAUAGUAAGUUCCACUGCGACGUGUCUUCUAAUCCAUCCAAAUAAUAGUUGUACGUUCACGGAAAAGUUUCAGCACAUUAUACACGGUCAAUUUAGCCAUCUUCAGCGAUUUCACGAUUUUAGUACCUGACCACGCAGGAUUCUCAAUGUGGGUGUCCAAAAUAAAAAUUUCUUUUCUCGGCAUCCGUCCUCCACAAUUUUUUCAAGAAAAAAAAGUGAAAUUUUUACCGUCGAAAAAUACAGGUUCCAAAAAAAUUGGUAUCAAAAAAAUUCAGAAACGCCUACUAUGACCGCUGCUAUAAAGCGAACAUUGGUUUCGGAUUCUAACUGAAUCAAACCUUGGUGUUCACAUAAAUAAUGGAAGCGAAGCUGAGACGAGUUAAGCUACAUGUGUUUCCACAUUAGUAUGCCCAAUUGUCCUAAGAAGUAGACAGCCGGUGCUGUCGAGCAGAGGAACUAUUCCUUCAGACGUUAAAGUUUGAUGCCACGGGUAGGUCGAUACAUUCCAAUCUAAAGAGAAAAUAUUGAUGCAUGAAGAUCAGAAAAUACAGACACCGAUAGUGUCUGUAAAUAUAAUUCACAUUUUACGUGUCUAUACUUUCAUCAAUGUCUUAACAAUGAUUAAUGAUAACAAUCGUAUACAGUUUCCCUUACAUACUAUCAAUUUUGAAUGAGUGUUUUUUCUCUGUGAUUUUAGAGAGUUCACAUGAAAACAACUAUAACUUUUGUUUUGUUUCAGUUGAGUAUCCAGAGUGGUGCGGAAGAAAUGCGAGUGGUGCGAAGAGAAAUCGUUCUUGAAAAUAAUGAAAAUUUCCUUAAACGUACGCAUUUCAAUGUUUUUUUUUUCUUUUCACUAAUUUAUUUCGAAUUUAUAUGUAUGUCAUCAACGCUUAUAUCGGGAUUUACGGUGAAUCUAUAUCAGUGAAAAUAUUUUCAAUCCCAAAACUUUAGAUAUUCAACGCUUCAAGUAUAUACGAACACUUCUUCAUCGUUUUUUUUUUUCAGUUACAACUAUAAUUCCGCAUCAUCGAAAUUUGCAACUGAUACAAAAGCAACUUGAAAAAUCCGGAGAUUUAGUUGGUUUCAUUGCUUCUUUGUACAACUAUAAUCUAUGAAUGAAAAUACACGUUCACUUUUCGGUUCUUAUGUAUUUCAACUCCGUAUGUCAGCAA
RNA transcript from Toxorhynchites rutilus septentrionalis, 2749 nucleotides. It is a transcript of the gene named pyridoxal phosphate phosphatase PHOSPHO2-like, with no coding region annotated. The transcript has 6 exons. The record is from RefSeq and is a predicted model, not a curated record. Lineage: Eukaryota; Metazoa; Arthropoda; Insecta; Diptera; Culicidae.